UUAUGAUGGGUAGGGGAGCUUCGUAUGCAGGCUGAAGCAUGACCGUAAGGACAUGUGGACAGUAUACGAGUGAGAAUGUUGGCAUGAGUAGCGAGACGUGGGUGAGAAUCCCACGGGCCGUAAACCCAAGGUUUCCAGGGGAAGGUUCGUCCGCCCUGGGUUAGUCGGGACCUAAGCCGAGGCCGAAAGGCGUAGGUGAUGGACAACAGGCUGAUAUUCCUGUACCGCCAAUAAGCGUUUGAGAGAUGGAGUGACACAGUAGGAUAAGCUAACCGUACUGUUGGUUAUGUACGGCUAAGCAUUGAGGCAGUCUAAAUAGGCAAAUCCGUUUGGACAAUGCUAGGAUGUGAUGGGGAAGCCCUCCGGGGCGAAGUAGCUGAUUUCACACUGUCAAGAAAAGCUUCUAUCGAGUUUAAAGGCGCCCGUACCGUAAACCGACACAGGUGGGUGAGGAGAGUAUCCUAAGGCCAGCGAGAGAACUAUUGUUAAGGAACUCGGCAAAAUGACCCCGUAACUUAGGGAGAAGGGGUGCCUGUCUAUGACAGGCCGCAGAGAAUAGGCCCAAGCGACUGUUUACCAAAAACACAGGUUUCUGCUAAGUCGCAAGACGAUGUAUAGGAGCUGACGCCUGCCCGGUGCUGGAAGGUUAAGGGGAUCUGUUAGAGCAAUCGAAGCAGUGAACUUAAGCCCCAGUAAACGGCGGCCGUAACCAUAACGGUCCUAAGGUAGCGAAAUUCCUUGUCGGGUAAGUUCCGACCCGCACGAAAGGCGUAACGAUUUGGGCACUGUCUCAACAAUAGACUCGGUGAAAUUGUAAUCCCGGUGAAGAUGCCGGGUACCUGCGACAGGACGGAAAGACCCCAUGGAGCUUUACUGUAGCUUGACGUUGGGUCUUGGUACUACAUGUACAGGAUAGGUGGGAGACUAUGAAGCAUGGACGCCAGUCUGUGUGGAGUCAUCCUUGGGAUACCACCCUUGUAGUACUGGGAUCCUAACCAUAGGCCUUGAAUCAGGUCUUGGAACACCGUCAGGUGGGCAGUUUGACUGGGGCGGUCGCCUCCUAAAAAGUAACGGAGGCGCUCAAAGGUUUCCUCAGCACGGUCGGAAAUCGUGCGAAGAGUGUAAAGGCAAAAGGAAGCUUGAUUGCAAGACAUACAGGUCGAGCAAGGACGAAAGUCGGACUUAGUGAUCCGGUGGUACCGCAUGGAAGGGCCAUCGCUCAACGGAUAAAAGCUACCCUGGGGAUAACAGGCUUAUCUCCCCCAAGAGUCCACAUCGACGGGGAGGUUUGGCACCUCGAUGUCGGCUCAUCACAUCCUGGGGCUGUAGUAGGUCCCAAGGGUUGGGCUGUUCGCCCAUUAAAGUGGUACGCGAGCUGGGUUCAGAACGUCGUGAGACAGUUCGGUCCCUAUCCGUCGCAGGCGUAGGAAAUUUGAGAAGACCUGUCCUUAGUACGAGAGGACCGGGAUGGACGUACCUCUGGUGUACCAGUUGUUCUGCCAAGGGCAUGGCUGGGUAGCUAUGUACGGAACGGAUAAGCGCUGAAAGCAUCUAAGCGCGAAGCCAACUUCAAGAUAAGAUUUCCCACCGUAAGGGUAAGACCCCAGGAAGACUACCUGGUUGAUAGGUCGAAGGUGUAAGUGCAGUAAUGUAUUUAGCUUAUCGAUACUAAUAGGUCGAGGACUUGACC
RNAcentral lists this ribosomal RNA (1690 nucleotides) under metagenome. Its description in RNAcentral is "bacterial LSU rRNA". It matches the Rfam family "Bacterial large subunit ribosomal RNA", at positions 1219 to 2925 of the family's 2925-position model. The record is from RNAcentral.